Non-coding RNA from Heterocephalus glaber (naked mole-rat), 1088 nucleotides. Lineage: Eukaryota; Metazoa; Chordata; Mammalia; Rodentia; Bathyergidae. The record is from RefSeq and is a predicted model, not a curated record.
UGGGAAUAGAGAAAAAGGGGUUAGGAAACCACAGGAUCUAUCGCCUUCAUUCCAAAAAAAUCUGUGCGCACCCAUGCAGACUGAAGUGGGUCCCUCUUGAGGCCAGAACCAUCUGAGGGGCUGCUUUCCCCUGUGUGGAGUGUCUGAGACAGUUCAUGUCCCACGGAACGGCACAGAGGGCCUCUUUGGGGAGAGCCACAUAAACAGCCUGGUGUAGCACGGGCUGGAGCACGUGGGACCCGGGUGGACAUCACCAUCACCGGGGAGAGGGGGAGCGAAUGUCAGCGACCGACAGGAGACGCUGUCCAGGUGCUGAGGACGCAGGUGGCCUGGCCCAGCUGCAGUCCUCCGCAGGUGUUGAGGUGCAGUUCGGCUUGCUCAGCGCUGGGAGAAAGGGCUGUCAGCGAGAUUUACAGUCCAGUCUUCAGAGGGCUCACAGCGACCCUCAGAGGUAACCACGGGCCCCAAGGAGUAGAAAUCAAAAUGUGAAAAAUGAAAGGUCCGAAAGGCCAGAGAGGAGCAGUGUUUGUUUAUUGGGAGGCAAUCAGGAAAUGUCUCAGAGAGGUGGGGACAGGAUCUUGAAGUAGGGGUACAGUUCCCAUGGGCGGAAAUGGGGGCCGAGACCUGCAGACUGGGAGCAGCUGGCGAGCAGUAGUGGAGAAGAGAGAAGAGAGACCCCGGGCCCUGUGCAGAAGGAGCCGUUGGGUGGCUGGGGCCGCAGGCAGCACUUCCUGGCUUCUCAUUCCUGAGCCGGCGUCCCCAGGGCCUUCGUGUCAGCACUGUGCAUGUCCUCGUGGAGAGGGGCUUCGGGGGGCAGCUCUGCCUCCAAAGCACCAGCCUCGAAUGCUCCCUUUUCUUUCUGUAAAGAAGAUACCCAGACAACCCUGUCCUGUCGUUUUCCCUGGAAACGCAAGCAGCCACCAGUAGCUGCCCUAGAUUUGCAUCAAAGGGACACCUGUCCCUCGGGAGAGCCCCAGAGAUGGCGGCGCUGCUUUGCAGACAAAAAGCUGCUAAAUAAAUCUGCCUAUGGAGCUAUAGAGAGCCCAGCCUGAGCAAAGAGGCUCUCGUGCCCUUCGUCUCAAGGUAGA